GUGGGGAAUAUUGGACAAUGGGGGGAACCCUGAUCCAGCCAUGCCGCGUGUGUGAAGAAGGCCUUUUGGUUGUAAAGCACUUUAAGCGAGGAGGAGGCUACCGAGAUUAAUACUCUUGGAUAGUGGACGUUACUCGCAGAAUAAGCACCGGCUAACUCUGUGCCAGCAGCCGCGGUAAUACAGAGGGUGCAAGCGUUAAUCGGAUUUACUGGGCGUAAAGCGCGCGUAGGUGGCCAAUUAAGUCAAAUGUGAAAUCCCCGAGCUUAACUUGGGAAUUGCAUUCGAUACUGGUUGGCUAGGGUAUGGGAGAGGAUGGUAGAAUUCCAGGUGUAGCGGUGAAAUGCGUAGAGAUCUGGAGGAAUACCGAUGGCGAAGGCAGCCAUCUGGCCUAAUACUGACACUGAGGUGCGAAAGCAUGGGGAGCAAACAGGAUUAGAUACCCGAGUAGUCC
RNAcentral lists this ribosomal RNA (451 nucleotides) under uncultured bacterium. Its description in RNAcentral is "partial 16S ribosomal RNA". It matches the Rfam family "Bacterial small subunit ribosomal RNA", at positions 354 to 796 of the family's 1533-position model. The record is from RNAcentral.